This 880-nucleotide long non-coding RNA is filed under the name Vitis vinifera (wine grape). Its description in RNAcentral is "long non-coding RNA (VVIN_LNC004578)". Lineage: Eukaryota; Viridiplantae; Streptophyta; Magnoliopsida; Vitales; Vitaceae. The record is from RNAcentral.
UUUUUGCGACAAUAAUGAAUAUUUAGUGACAAUUAUUUUGUCGCAAGAUAUAUUUUUCACAACAAAAUAUUUUAUUGAAAUUUUUAUUACUAAAGAAUAUUAUAAAAUUUUAGGGAUAAAAUUUGUUUGUCGCUUAUUGUUAUUUUGCAACAUGGUAUAAAAUAUUAUUUUAAAAUUUAUUUCAUAUGAUAUAUUAAUAAUUAAGAUUAGAUAAUACUUUAUAAUAUUCAAACAUAUUUUAUUUUAAUAUCUUACAAUCCACAUAUUUAUUGAAAAUAUAAAUUUUUUAUUUUUAUAAUUAUAUAUUGAUUUAGGUUACACACAUAUGACUCUUAGUUGUUGGAUUACAUAAAAUGAGUUGAAUAAUUUGAUAUAAUAUUUUUGUUUGUGAAAUCCUUUUAUAUAAAUUAGAAUCUACAUUUUAUUACACAUUAAAUAUAUUUUUCAAAUAAUGUUACAUUCAAGGAUUAAAAUGUUGCCAAAUAUAAAAGCUUUCAAUAUUUCGCCAUUUUUUCCAACCCCAAAAUUCGCUCCAAAAUUUUGGAGUUGGGUAUUCGAACCCCAAAUAAAAGUUUAAAUAUUCACCCACCCACCAUCAAGGUAAUUUAACAUUUGUUAUAUAGUAUGAUACCUAUUAAAUAUAAAGACUUAUAAAUAAAAAAAAAUGAAAAAUUUACAUAUGUAUUAAAAAGAAAUAUUUUAAUAAAUAAUUAAUAAUUAUUUUAUAAUUAAAUGAAAAUAUUCCAACAUGAAAAUAAUCAUAAUAAUUUUCUUUACAAAUCUUUUUUUCUAUAUCAUUAAUAUAUUAAUUAAAUAUUAAAAAAAUUAUAUGUAAUCAUCAUUUAUUUUGUAUUAUUAAAUACAAUUGAAUCAAAUGAAU